AGUGAACGCUGGCGGUAGGCCUAACACAUGCAAGUCGAACGGCAGCACAGUAAGAGCUUGCUCUUACGGGUGGCGAGUGGCGGACGGGUGAGGAAUACGUCGGAAUCUACUUUUUCGUGGGGGAUAACGUAGGGAAACUUACGCUAAUACCGCAUACGACCUACGGGUGAAAGCAGGGGAUCUUCGGACCUUGCGCGAUUGAAUGAGCCGAUGUCGGAUUAGCUAGUUGGCGGGGUAAAGGCCCACCAAGGCGACGAUCCGUAGCUGGUCUGAGAGGAUGAUCAGCCACACUGGAACUGAGACACGGUCCAGACUCCUACGGGAGGCAGCAGUGGGGAAUAUUGGACAAUGGGCGCAAGCCUGAUCCAGCCAUACCGCGUGGGUGAAGAAGGCCUUCGGGUUGUAAAGCCCUUUUGUUGGGAAAGAAAAGCAGCAGGUUAAUACCCCGCUGUUCUGACGGUACCCAAAGAAUAAGCACCGGAUAACUUCGUG
This 492-nucleotide ribosomal RNA is filed under the name uncultured bacterium. Its description in RNAcentral is "partial 16S ribosomal RNA". It matches the Rfam family "Bacterial small subunit ribosomal RNA", at positions 29 to 507 of the family's 1533-position model. The record is from RNAcentral.